CUGGCUCAGAAUGAACGUUGGCGGCGUGGAUUAGGCAUGCGAGUCGUACGAGAACCCGCAAGGGGGAAAGUGGCGAACGGGGUAGUAAUGCGUAGGUGACGUGCCCUGCGGUCGGGGAUAGCUUAGGGAAACUUAAGGUAAUACCCGAUGACACCAUGCGGUUUGAAUACCAUAUGGUCAAAGGUGUGAUUCCACCACAGGAGCGGCUUGCGUGGUAUUAGCUAGUUGGUGAGGUAACGGCUCACCAAGGCAACGAUGCCUAGGGGAUGUUAGCGCAUGAUCCCCACCACUGGGACUGAGAUACUGCCCAGACACCUACGGGUGGCUGCAGUCGAGAAUCUUCGGCAAUGGGGGAAACCCUGACCGAGCGACGCCGCGUGUGGGAUGAAGGCCCUUGGGUUGUAAACCACUGUCAGAGGGGAUGAAGUGCUAGAGAGCUAUCUCUCUAGUUUGACAUAGCCUCAGAGGAAGCACGGGCUAAGUUCGUGCCAGCAGCCGC
RNAcentral lists this ribosomal RNA (499 nucleotides) under uncultured bacterium. RNAcentral describes it as "bacterial SSU rRNA". It matches the Rfam family "Bacterial small subunit ribosomal RNA", at positions 19 to 518 of the family's 1533-position model. The record is from RNAcentral.